GACGAACGCUGGCGGCGUGCUUAACACAUGCAAGUCGAACGCUGAAGCACCAGCUUGCUGGUGUGGAUGAGUGGCGAACGGGUGAGUAAUACGUGAGUAACCUGCCCUUGACUCUGGGAUAAGCCCGGGAAACUGGGUCUAAUACUGGAUGCUACAUGUCACCGCAUGGUGGUGUGUGGAAAGGGUUUACUGGUCUUGGAUGGGCUCACGGCCUAUCAGCUUGUUGGUGAGGUAAUGGCUCACCAAGGCGACGACGGGUAGCCGGCCUGAGAGGGUGACCGGCCACACUGGGACUGAGACACGGCCCAGACUCCUACGGGAGGCAGCAGUGGGGAAUAUUGCACAAUGGGCGAAAGCCUGAUGCAGCGACGCCGCGUGAGGGAUGACGGCCUUCGGGUUGUAAACCUCUUUUAGCAGGGAAGAAGCCACAAGUGACGGUACCUGCAGAAGAAGCGCCGGCUAACUACGUG
This 470-nucleotide ribosomal RNA is filed under the name uncultured bacterium. Its description in RNAcentral is "partial 16S ribosomal RNA". It matches the Rfam family "Bacterial small subunit ribosomal RNA", at positions 28 to 507 of the family's 1533-position model. The record is from RNAcentral.